AGAAAAAACCGCUCCUCCUCCUCUUCUCCGCGUCCCCACCACGUGCUCCACCUCCGGGGCCCCACUCUCUUCGUUGCGCCCCCACCACGCCCCGCGUCCGCGCCUCCCCUGCCUCCUCAACUCCUCGUCAUCGUCGGUUCCCCUGUGUGCCUCCCUCGCCGCCGCCGCCGCCGGGGGCGGUUCCCUACUCUGCCUCCCCCACCACGCCUCCCACAUCGCGCCGCCCCCAUCGCCGCGCCCCCACAACACCUCCACCGUCGGCACCCCCAUCGCGACACCCCUGAGCUCUGCAUCGCCGCCGACCGCCGCUCCUGCUCGCCCUCAUCUACGACGCCGCCGUCACUACCCUCUCUUCGCUGCGCUGCCUCCCUCCCCGGCGUCCCCAUCCCCUCCUCGCCGCGCCACUUCCCCAUCUGCCGCCCCGCCUGCUUACCUCCCCGGCGUCCCCAUCCCUUCCUCGCCACGUCGCUUCCCCAUUCACCGCCCCCGCUGCACGCCUCACGCCGCAACCCCGCAGCGGAACCCACCGGCGAGCUAACCGCCGUCCCGGCAGGUCGCCGUCAAUCGCCGUCGCCCCGCAGGUCGGCGUUGCACUGCAGAGGGAUUUCCCCGCCGAACGGUCGCCGCAGCAGGUCUACGCCACCUUCUUCCCACGCCGACUCCAUGUCUAAUCCCUACCUCACCACAGUUUCAACUUGUGGUUCCAGCUGAAGCAAUUGGAGAUUUAUUAAAUCUAAGGCUACAUGCUAGGCUGCUAUGAGAUGUAGAUCAAAUAGGCUAUCCUAUUAGAUGGUUAUUGAGCAAGCAUGUUUAUACCAAACAGUCAUUUUGUUUGUUGCUGGAACUAUCAGGUUGCCAUAUAGGCAUGCUAAAAAACCGUCAGGAAGUGUACAAGCUUACAAGCUGUAAAUAAACGGAAUGAAGAGCAAUAGAUCAUCUGUUAGGUUGCCUUCGGUUUUGAACAAGCGCUAUAAGGUGGUCGAAGAAAUUCUAUUAUUUUAUUUACCAUUGAUUGGCUAUCUGUUGAUGCUUUUAUUAUUCAACCAAACUGGUGGAGGAGCCAAGGUCACAGUAAUCUUAUUAAAGGUAGUACGUACUUAUAGAACCUCCAUUUUCAUCGGUACAUGUGAGAGUGAGCUUUAAUAAUGUAUUCCAUGAUGAAAUGUAUUCCAUAGCAUUAGGAUUGGAUGCUACAGGGAGACAAAUCUCGGCUGUGUCAUGUAUUCCAUGAUGCAAAGUUGAUGUUGGCUAUUGU
This 1255-nucleotide long non-coding RNA is filed under the name Oryza sativa tropical japonica subgroup. Its description in RNAcentral is "lncRNA OsCMeo_07g0020370". The record is from RNAcentral. Lineage: Eukaryota; Viridiplantae; Streptophyta; Magnoliopsida; Poales; Poaceae.